Long non-coding RNA from Quercus robur (English oak), 108 nucleotides. RefSeq lists it as uncharacterized. The transcript is spliced from 2 exons. The record is from RefSeq and is a predicted model, not a curated record. Lineage: Eukaryota; Viridiplantae; Streptophyta; Magnoliopsida; Fagales; Fagaceae.
AUCUCUGACUGAAUCACUCGUAAAAGGGUCUCAUCAGAGCUGGGCUUCUUCGAAGCAGAAGAGUAGUGAAGGUUGGGAACCAAAAGAGGGCUCAGAAAUGAGAUCCUG